GACGAACGCUGGCGGCGUGCUUAACACAUGCAAGUCGAACGGUGAAGCGAGUGCUUGCACUCGUGGAUCAGUGGCGAACGGGUGAGUAACACGUGAGUAACCUGCCCAUCACUCUGGGAUAAGCACUGGAAACGGUGUCUAAUACUGGAUACGACCAACCCUUGCAUGGGGUGUUGGUGGAAAGAUUUAUCGGUGAUGGAUGGACUCGCGGCCUAUCAGCUUGUUGGCGGGGUAAUGGCCCACCAAGGCGCCGACGGGUAGCCGGCCUGAGAGGGUGACCGGCCACACUGGGACUGAGACACGGCCCAGACUCCUACGGGAGGCAGCAGUGGGGAAUAUUGCACAAUGGGCGAAAGCCUGAUGCAGCGACGCCGCGUGAGGGAUGACGGCCUUCGGGUUGUAAACCUCUUUCAGCAGGGAAGAAGCGAAAGUGACGGUACCUGCAGAAGAAGCACCGGCUAACUACGUG
RNAcentral lists this ribosomal RNA (469 nucleotides) under uncultured bacterium. RNAcentral describes it as "partial 16S ribosomal RNA". It matches the Rfam family "Bacterial small subunit ribosomal RNA", at positions 28 to 507 of the family's 1533-position model. The record is from RNAcentral.